RNAcentral lists this long non-coding RNA (4812 nucleotides) under Triticum aestivum (bread wheat). RNAcentral's name for it is "long non-coding RNA (TAES_LNC014618)". The record is from RNAcentral. Lineage: Eukaryota; Viridiplantae; Streptophyta; Magnoliopsida; Poales; Poaceae.
GAGGACUUGCGACUCAGAACAAUGAGUUGAAAAUAAGGCUGCAAGCAAUGGAGCAACAGGCACAGCUGAGAGAUGGUAUGCUUCUUAUGGUCCCCUUCAGCAUUGUUCUUCAUUUCUUUUGGUUAAAAUUAAACUGGGUUAUGUCUUCUCGGGAAACUAGCAAACAGCAAUACAAAAAUAGUGCUCUUCAAGUAUUAUGCCAGCAUGUGUCUGUGCCAACUUUCGACUGUCUGGGCUGGUUUGGUAAUCAUGUAGUAUCACCAAUACAGAUCAGUCUUUUUAUUGUUGGGUCGGGAUAGUUUCUGUUUAUGUGCACUCGACACUGUAGGGUUAAUCAAGGCCAAGCAAAUAAGUUUACAUUAAAAUGCAAUAGUCGAGUGGUUCUUGGAUGUUAUUGCAUGUUUCAUGUGUCUAGAUAUAUUGGUUCUUAAUUUACCAUGCAUCUUGGUUGUGUUUGUAAUAAAAAAUUUCAUGGUUUGGUGCUGAAAGAUGACUUGCCAAUAUUUAUCCAAGCCAAAGCUAAACCAAUUGGUUGGGUGCCAACUUCUCUAAAAACUUGCCUACAUUUGGCAAGUUUUGGAGUUGCAAAAUGUAGGUAUGCCAAAAUAUUGGCUAGCAAUUUUUGGCUCCCAACAAAAGCAUGGCCUAUUACCUUUGUUUCGUGAUUUAUGAUUUACAAAAGAUUGUGUGCUGGUUCUCUAUGAUAGUCAGUUAUAUUAAGUCGCCAAAUGUAAGCAUGCUAAAAUAUUGGCUAGCAAUUUUUGGCUACCAACCAAAGCACACUCUAUUACCUUGUUUCGUGAUUAUUAUACAAAAGAUCGCGUGCUUGUUCUCUGUGUUAGUCAGUGAUAUUAAACUAUCAUUAUAAAUAUUGCUGAUUCUUUUUAUGCUGGUGUACAAAUUUUCCUGGCGUUGAUUACUUGCUGAGUAGAUUAAAGUCCUUUUGUCUCAGGAAAGUUGAUUUGCAAAUUGGUUGAAAAUUGAUGACACAGUAUAUUCAUUUUAUAUUAUUACUUUAUUAGUUGCUAGGGGUUCGGUCACCAGGUGGCUGGGUUGUACCAUCAUGGUACAUACUUUUACUGGGAUUUUUUUGAACAAUAUGUAUUUGGAAAAUCUUGCAUAUCUUAACACUGUUUUAUCACUAAUCAAUAUAUGUUUUAAAAUACUUUGAAAACCUUGAAUACCUCAAACUAUUUUAUCAUGAUUUCCUCAUGUGCGUCUAGUUUGACUAGGUUCGUUACUCUUGCUUACAUGAGGAUAUAUUAACUAAUGUCCAGUUCCUUUAGAUGCUUAUGUGACCUACUGUUUGUUUUGGUUCCUUUGGGCACAUUUUAUGGUUGAUAAGUACUAUAUGCGUAUACUGUAGAAACUGUCUUCUUACUCACUUCUGUUGAAAAGGCUUGUAUAUUUUUCCUUAAUGACAUUUGAAAAGAUUCAAAUAUUCCAUAUAUCUAGUCUUAAAUUGUGUUUAAUAGCCUAUUCAGAUCUAAAUGUCAGAUUGCUAUUUCAAUUAGUGUAAAAAUCGUUUCUGAAAGUUCACGCUGGUGAUGUAUACUUGUUUUGAACAUUUUUAAUGCGGUGUAAGAUUGAAGAUCUAUAAUAGCAUUUUCUCUAUGCGUCUUCUGUGCAUUUUUGGUUAUUUGUGAGUCCACAGUUGGUUUCAGGCUUUCAGUAAAUGUUCUAGCUACUUAGCUAGCGGUCAGCAAUUUAUGCUAGUGAUUUUGUUGCCAUGGGUCCUCUCUGUGGAUUGAUAUAUAGUCCAUAUGUAGCUAAUAUACGGUUCUAAGAGCAUCUCCAGUCGGACUUGCCUAAUCUGACCCCAUUUAUGUUCGCCGACCGCCCCAUAUUUGUCCGCCCGGGCAACCAGUCCACACCCCUCAUAUACAAAACCUCAAAUCCAUACAAAGCCAUGCAUAUAGAUCAUAUAUCACACAACCAAUUCAACACAAGCCAAAAUAAUUCACAACAAAUCAAAUUCAACAAUUCAUACAUAGGCAUACACGAAUGAAUCAAUCGCCCCCAUUGUUGCACUCAUGGAUCUCCUUUUUGUUGAUGAUCCACUUCUUGCAAUUGUCAUACAUGAGGAUAGUGUCGGCCGACAUGAUCCUUGACUCCUAGUGAUCUUCGUGAGUCUCACCUUCUCAAGCUCAAGCUCCAUUUCUUUUUGCCAUUUCUCUUGCUUCUCCAUGUCUAUCCUCUCCCUACAUGAUCAUCCUAUCCAACUCCAUGCCCUCCCGAUGCACAUACAAGAAGAGCUUGUACCUCUCCCGCUUCUCCUCCCUUUUCUCUUGCUUCUCCAUGUCUAUCCUCUCCUUCUCCAUAAUCAUCCUAUCCCGUACCCUCUCCCUUUGCACAUACAAGAAGAGCUUGUACCUCUCGUGUUUCUCCUUCAUUUUCUUCAAUGUCUCCUCCCUUGUUGCAAAAAAUGUCCGUCCAUGUGGCGGACAUUUUGCUUGCCGCGUCGUCACGUGCGCCCCUAUCCUUCUCCCACUUCCUCCCCCUCAGUGUCUAUUCCUCUUUGGGUUGGUCCCAUGUCAGUCCACCCCUCCAUUUGGCUCAUCGUCAUCAUCCAGUCCAAUAGAUUGGUGAGUUGUCGGGGUUCUUGAUAUCUUCAAAAGAGGUUUGACCACUUUGGUUUCCCAGUCAAUUGCACCCAACAAUCCAAAAUAAUCCAAGAAAGGAAGCAAGACAAGGAAGAUGAUGAACAAUGUGAAGCAAACAAAACUUACAUGGCUAUCGACUCCAAUACCACUUUGGUGCCUAUUCACCACUUUUGCAUAGAAACUGCAAAACUUGUUCAAACAAAGGCGAAUUUUGAUUACCCAUUUCAUAGUUUGGAGGAGCUUCACCAUCAUUUAUCAUGUCCAUCAUGAACGAGUCCUAAAGAUGCAUCACAGUGAAACUACCAUCCUAUAAUGGAUCCGAUAAAUGCACAUGGGGCAAAAAAGACCUAAGCAUUUUAUUGAGGAAUAUCUUCGAACGGUUGCUAGGCAUGUCCGUCGCUGAGGAUCCCCGACGUUGUCCGUGACUGUUGGAGUUGUGGUGACUUGUAUGACAUGUCCAAGAGGCGUCCGCUUCCUGCGUGAAGCCAUUCGAGAUGCCGGACCAUUGUGAAGCUCCAUGUCAACGACGUCCUUCUCCGCCUUCUUGCGGGCGUGCUGCUGGAGUUGCUGCUCCUUGCAGAUGAUGGUCUCCACUUUGCUCCCAGCGGUAGGGACCCCCAUGGACUUUGCCGAGCCAUCCUCCAUGGUGCGGGCGGACGGCGGAGUGGGCCAGGACGGCUAGGACGAAGGAGGAGGUGGGCGCCACAGAUGCGGAAGAGGGCAACGACUCGGAUGCGGGAAAGAGAAGACAGACACAUUAGAGAGGGUGGUCAAUUUGGAGGAAUUUGGAGUGGGUUCGGCUUGCCGGAUCCGACGUGGUGGACGCAUCCGGGUGCUCCCAAAUCCGUCCCACAUAUGAGCUGGGUUUGAGGGGUGCCGGACAGCCCGAACAUAUGGGCUGGGUUUGGGGGGUCCGUUUGGGUGGCCUAUUUGUGUCCGCAUGGUGUUUGGGCUGUCUGCCCGGGCAUAUGGGUGCGAAGUAGGGGGUCCGGUUGAAGAUGCUCUAAGGUCGGCUAGCAUAUGUCUCUGGUUGGCAUGAUAAAUUGCUGGUGUUUCACUAGAAGUUGAUUUCAUUGCAAGAUGGCAUCAUAUGCCAAUUGCUAGCCCUACCCGGAUAAACUUUCUAGGCAAACGCAAGUGUGUAUGAUAAUGAUAUUUUCAUUAUCUUCAUGCUUGUUUCCAUAGUUGUCACAGUAUUAGUUAUGUGUUGUGUUAUAUAAUCCAUGUUUAGUUGUUCAGGUUGUUGUUUGCAGUGUCUAUAAACCAAUCAUGUGUCAUUGUGUUUAUUUGGGUGACAGGGUUAUAUAUGUUCAUCUUGCUUUGUGACUUUCAGUGCUAAACUAUGGAAAUCAACUGUGCAUGUGCCAUUUUCUUUCUUUCUUUUCAGAUAAUAUAAGAUUUUAUUUCCUUGUUGAUGCACAUUGUUUUUUUUGCCACCUAUUGCAGUGAUUGAAUGAAGGCUAUCAUGUAACUUAAUUAGUUGUUUUGUAAUGUUCUGUCCAUUGAUUUAUGUUUCUCUAUGGGAUUCAUAUGUAUCCAGCUCUGAAUGAAGCACUAACGGGUGAGGUCCAGCGGCUGAAAGUUGCAACCGGUGAGAUUACGGAUGCUCGUAUGUCGAAGGCGGGCCUACAGCAGCAGAUGAACUCCCAGCUGAUUCAAAUGCAGCAGCUGCAAAUACAGCAGCAGCAACAGCAGCAGUCAUCACAGACGCAGCAGGCUCAGCAGCAGCAGCAGCAGCAGCAGUCGCAGCAAUCAGCAUAGACCAAGUCACAAAGAACCUGGAUCUCUAUAGCAGAGGAGGAGAAAUUCGAAUCUAGCCGAGCAUGAUGAGUUGAAGAUGGUGAUCGUAUGUGCGAGCGGAGAGAAAAUAAUAUCUUUUGAUUAUAUCAGACAGGUUGUAGGAUGGAUAGCAGUGGUUGGGCAACGGAUGCUGCCCGAGUUCUUUUGUUUAAGGUGGUAUAAUACUCAGCGUGGAGCAUGGUCGUCGUCGUACCGUAUUGUCUGUCGUAUAUUCGUGCUGUACAUGAGUACCUUCCUUGUGAGUCACUGUGGUAGUCUUCUCAUUAAAGAUUCUUUCCGACGAGUUGUUUCUGCGAGUCUAUGAGGUUAUUAUAUUACAAAAUCUACAACAGUACCUGUGCCGUGAACGUGUAAUGGAGUAUAUGGCGUACUUCGUCAGCGUUCGGGCUAUGCUUGUGUUCACGUUUUG